AGGGUGUGAGCUCGGUGGUGGGCUGUCUCUGGAUGUUGGCGUAUCUCUGGCAUCGAUCACACUUUUUAACAUAUUCAAUCGAAUCAUGAUGCAUUGUUGGCCAGUAAUAUCCCUGGCGGAGCAACUUGUGGGAUAAAGAUAUAGCCCCCAAAUGGUUUUCGCAAAUUCCUUCAUAUACUUCCCACAAGGCGUAGUCAGCUUCCGAGGGCCGGAGAUAUUUUAAGAGGGGCAAGGAGUAUGAUCUCUUGUACAACUUGCCCUCAUAAAGGAUGUACCGGGAGGCCUGAUUUCGGAGCUUUCGGGCUUCUUUCGCAUCUUGGGGGAGAACUCUAUCUCUGAGAU
This 342-nucleotide long non-coding RNA is filed under the name Elaeis guineensis (African oil palm). Its description in RNAcentral is "long non-coding RNA (EGUI_LNC080316)". Lineage: Eukaryota; Viridiplantae; Streptophyta; Magnoliopsida; Arecales; Arecaceae. The record is from RNAcentral.